RNAcentral lists this ribosomal RNA (253 nucleotides) under uncultured Rikenellaceae bacterium. Its description in RNAcentral is "partial 16S ribosomal RNA". It matches the Rfam family "Bacterial small subunit ribosomal RNA", at positions 524 to 776 of the family's 1533-position model. Lineage: Bacteria; Pseudomonadati; Bacteroidota; Bacteroidia; Bacteroidales; Rikenellaceae. The record is from RNAcentral.
UACGUAGGGGGCAAGCGUUAUCCGGAUUUAUUGGGUUUAAAGGGUGCGUAGGCGGUCGGAUAAGUUAGAGGUGAAAUCCCGAGGCUCAACUUCGGAAUUGCCUCUGAUACUGUUCGGCUAGAGAGUAGUUGCGGUAGGCGGAAUGUAUGGUGUAGCGGUGAAAUGCUUAGAGAUCAUACAGAACACCGAUUGCGAAGGCAGCAUACCGGCGCCCAACUGACGCUGAAGCACGAAAGCGUGGGUAUCGAACAGG